Non-coding RNA from Theobroma cacao (cacao), 335 nucleotides. The record is from RefSeq and is a predicted model, not a curated record. NCBI's taxonomy places the organism in Eukaryota, Viridiplantae, Streptophyta, Magnoliopsida, Malvales, Malvaceae.
GAAUUUUGAAAGAGAAUUCAACUACAAAGACCAUCAAGGUUCCAACGAAACCCCACACCUCAAUUCAGAACAUUAAUCGAAGUUAGAGCCCACCAAAACAUCAACAAAAACUGAUCUGUAGCUAGUUGGGACCCAGAUUAAGGAGACCAUUCGUAUUCACCCCUUGGUAGGUAUAUGGCAUUCGGUAGCUGUGCCCUCACCCAAGUCACUCCGCUGGUCGUUAAGAAUUUUGUAUGUGGAUUUACAAUCGAUGUAAAUUGCUAAGAUUUAGGCUACAAAUAAUAGAUGUAUAUGUGAUAUGAUGAUGCCAUUAUGAAAUGGCAAUGAAUGACAAU